This 1032-nucleotide ribosomal RNA is filed under the name Bacillus sp. (in: firmicutes). RNAcentral describes it as "bacterial SSU rRNA". It matches the Rfam family "Bacterial small subunit ribosomal RNA", at positions 9 to 1020 of the family's 1533-position model. The record is from RNAcentral. Lineage: Bacteria; Bacillati; Bacillota; Bacilli; Caryophanales; Bacillaceae.
GAGUUUGAUCAUGGCUCAGGACGAACGCUGGCGGCGUGCCUAAUACAUGCAAGUCGAGCGGACCGACGGGAGCUUGCUCCCUUAGGUCAGCGGCGGACGGGUGAGUAACACGUGGGUAACCUGCCUGUAAGACUGGGAUAACUCCGGGAAACCGGGGCUAAUACCGGAUGCUUGAUUGAACCGCAUGGUUCCAAUCAUAAAAGGUGGCUUUUAGCUACCACUUACAGAUGGACCCGCGGCGCAUUAGCUAGUUGGUGAGGUAACGGCUCACCAAGGCGACGAUGCGUAGCCGACCUGAGAGGGUGAUCGGCCACACUGGGACUGAGACACGGCCCAGACUCCUACGGGAGGCAGCAGUAGGGAAUCUUCCGCAAUGGACGAAAGUCUGACGGAGCAACGCCGCGUGAGUGAUGAAGGUUUUCGGAUCGUAAAACUCUGUUGUUAGGGAAGAACAAGUACCGUUCGAAUAGGGCGGCACCUUGACGGUACCUAACCAGAAAGCCACGGCUAACUACGUGCCAGCAGCCGCGGUAAUACGUAGGUGGCAAGCGUUGUCCGGAAUUAUUGGGCGUAAAGCGCGCGCAGGCGGUUUCUUAAGUCUGAUGUGAAAGCCCCCGGCUCAACCGGGGAGGGUCAUUGGAAACUGGGGAACUUGAGUGCAGAAGAGGAGAGUGGAAUUCCACGUGUAGCGGUGAAAUGCGUAGAGAUGUGGAGGAACACCAGUGGCGAAGGCGACUCUCUGGUCUGUAACUGACGCUGAGGCGCGAAAGCGUGGGGAGCGAACAGGAUUAGAUACCCUGGUAGUCCACGCCGUAAACGAUGAGUGCUAAGUGUUAGAGGGUUUCCGCCCUUUAGUGCUGCAGCAAACGCAUUAAGCACUCCGCCUGGGGAGUACGGUCGCAAGACUGAAACUCAAAGGAAUUGACGGGGGCCCGCACAAGCGGUGGAGCAUGUGGUUUAAUUCGAAGCAACGCGAAGAACCUUACCAGGUCUUGACAUCCUCUGACACCCCUAGAGAUAGGGCUUCCCCUU